RNAcentral lists this small nucleolar RNA (121 nucleotides) under Myotis davidii. Its description in RNAcentral is "Small nucleolar RNA SNORA28". It matches the Rfam family "Small nucleolar RNA SNORA28". From Rfam's summary of the family: ACA28 is a member of the H/ACA class of snoRNA that guide the sites of modification of uridines to pseudouridines. Lineage: Eukaryota; Metazoa; Chordata; Mammalia; Chiroptera; Vespertilionidae. The record is from Rfam by way of RNAcentral.
UAUUAAGAUAAAAUACAUUUUAUUGUGUUAAAAAUAUUUUUUUUCAUUGCUACAGCAACAAAGUCUAAUCUAUUCUGGUGCUCUCCUCUAUGAGACAAGCCGUUAUAUAGACUUAGACAGU